This 460-nucleotide ribosomal RNA is filed under the name uncultured bacterium. RNAcentral's name for it is "partial 16S ribosomal RNA". It matches the Rfam family "Bacterial small subunit ribosomal RNA", at positions 338 to 795 of the family's 1533-position model. The record is from RNAcentral.
CCUACGGGGGGCAGCAGUGAGGAAUAUUGGUCAAUGGACGAGAGUCUGAACCAGCCAAGUAGCGUGAAGGAUGACUGCCCUAUGGGUUGUAAACUUCUUUUAUAUGGGAAUAAAAUGUUCCACGUGUGGGAUUUUGUAUGUACCAUAUGAAUAAGGAUCGGCUAACUCCGUGCCAGCAGCCGCGGUAAUACGGAGGAUCCGAGCGUUAUCCGGAUUUAUUGGGUUUAAAGGGAGCGUAGGUGGAUUGGUAAGUCAGUUGUGAAAGUUUGCGGCUCAACCGUAAAAUUGCAGUUGAAACUGGCAGUCUGGAGUACAGUAGAGGUGGGCGGAAUUCGUGGUGUAGCGGUGAAAUGCUUAGAUAUCACGAAGAACUCCGAUUGCGAAGGCAGCUCACUGGACUGCAACUGACACUGAGGCUCGAAAGUGUGGGUAUCAAACAGGAUUAGAUACCCCAGUAGUC